UACGUAGGGGGCAAGCGUUGUCCGGAAUCAUUGGGCGUAAAGAGCGUGUAGGCGGUUCGAUAAGUCUGCUGUGAAAGUCCAAGGCUCAACCUUGGGAUGCCGGUGGAUACUGUCGAACUCGAGUCCGGAAGAGGAGUGUGGAAUUCCUGGUGUAGCGGUGAAAUGCGCAGAUAUCAGGAGGAACACCGGUGGCGAAGGCGGCUUCCUGGACCGACACUGACGCUGAGGCGCGAAAGCUAGGGGAGCAAACGGG
RNAcentral lists this ribosomal RNA (253 nucleotides) under uncultured bacterium. RNAcentral's name for it is "partial 16S ribosomal RNA". It matches the Rfam family "Bacterial small subunit ribosomal RNA", at positions 524 to 776 of the family's 1533-position model. The record is from RNAcentral.